AUACGGAGGGGGUUAGCGUUGUUCGGAAUUACUGGGCGUAAAGCGCACGUAGGCGGACUGAUCAGUUAGAGGUGAAAUCCCAGGGCUCAACCCUGGAACUGCCUUUAAUACUGUCAGUCUAGAGAUCGAGAGAGGUGAGUGGAAUUCCAAGUGUAGAGGUGAAAUUCGUAGAUAUUUGGAGGAACACCAGUGGCGAAGGCGGCUCACUGGCUCGAUACUGACGCUGAGGUGCGAAAGCGUGGGGAGCAAACAGGAUUAGAUACCCUAGUAGUCC
Molecule: ribosomal RNA, 274 nt
Filed under: uncultured bacterium
Lineage: Bacteria
Description: partial 16S ribosomal RNA
Rfam family: Bacterial small subunit ribosomal RNA
Source: RNAcentral